CCGGGCCUGGUCGAUGCGGUCGAGAUUCGGCCGAUUCAGCUGAAUCCAUCGGUUGGGGCGGGCGUUCGAUUCAGCCGGUCCGGU
This 84-nucleotide transfer RNA is filed under the name Streptomyces inusitatus. Its description in RNAcentral is "tRNA-Asn". The record is from RNAcentral. Lineage: Bacteria; Bacillati; Actinomycetota; Actinomycetes; Kitasatosporales; Streptomycetaceae.